AGGGGGUGGCGGGUGCUUACACAUGCAAGUCGAACGAUGAUGCCCAGCUUGCUGGGCGGAUUAGUGGCGAACGGGUGAGUAAUACGUGAGUAACCUGCCCUUGACUCUGGGAUAAGCCUGGGAAACCGGGUCUAAUACUGGAUACUACUUCCUGCCGCAUGGUGGGUGGUGGAAAGGGUUUUACUGGUUUUGGAUGGGCUCACGGCCUAUCAGCUUGUUGGUGGGGUAAUGGCUCACCAAGGCGACGACGGGUAGCCGGCCUGAGAGGGUGACCGGCCACACUGGGACUGAGACACGGCCCAGACUCCUACGGGAGGCAGCAGUGGGGAAUAUUGCACAAUGGGCGGAAGCCUGAUGCAGCGACGCCGCGUGAGGGAUGACGGCCUUCGGGUUGUAAACCUCUUUCAGUAGGGAAGAAGCGAGAGUGACGGUACCUGCAGAAGAAGCGCCGGCUAACUACGUGCCAGCAGCCGCGGUAAUACGUAGGGCGCAAGCGUUGUCCGGAAUUAUUGGGCGUAAAGAGCUCGUAGGCGGUCUGUCGCGUCUGCUGUGAAAGCCCGGGGCUCAACCCCGGGUCUGCAGUGGGUACGGGCAGACUAGAGUGCAGUAGGGGAGACUGGAAUUCCUGGUGUAGCGGUGAAAUGCGCAGAUAUCAGGAGGAACACCGAUGGCGAAGGCAGGUCUCUGGGCUGUUACUGACGCUGAGGAGCGAAAGCAUGGGGAGCGAACAGGAUUAGAUACCCUGGUAGUCCAUGCCGUAAACGUUGGGCACUAGGUGUGGGGGACAUUCCACGUUUUCCGCGCCGUAGCUAACGCAUUAAGUGCCCCGCCUGGGGAGUACGGCCGCAAGGCUAAAACUCAAGGAAUUGACGGGGGCCCGCACAAGCGGCGGAGCAUGCGGAUUAAUUCGAUGCAACGCGAAGAACCUUUACCAAGGCUUGACAUUCCACCGGACCGCCCCAGAGAUGGGGUUUCCCUUCGGGUCGGUUGAACAGUGGUGCAUGGUUGUUCGUCAGCCUCUGUCGUGAGAUUGUUGGGUUUAAGUUCCCGCAACGAGCGCUACCCUCGUUCUAUUGUUGCCAGCCACGUGAUUGUUGGGACUCCAUAGGAAGACUGCUGGUCAACUCGACGAUGUUGGAUUGACGUCAAUCAUCAUUGCCUUAUGUCUUGGGCUUCAGCAUGCUAACAAUGCCGGAACAAGGUUGCGAAAUUCUGUGAGGGUGAACCUAUCCAAGUCGUUCCAUUCGAUUGAGGUUCGAACUCGAACUCUAUGUAGAAUCGUGA
RNAcentral lists this ribosomal RNA (1284 nucleotides) under Kocuria sp. HL94. RNAcentral's name for it is "bacterial SSU rRNA". It matches the Rfam family "Bacterial small subunit ribosomal RNA", at positions 31 to 1337 of the family's 1533-position model. The record is from RNAcentral. Lineage: Bacteria; Bacillati; Actinomycetota; Actinomycetes; Micrococcales; Micrococcaceae.